RNAcentral lists this ribosomal RNA (292 nucleotides) under uncultured prokaryote. Its description in RNAcentral is "partial 16S ribosomal RNA". It matches the Rfam family "Bacterial small subunit ribosomal RNA", at positions 505 to 796 of the family's 1533-position model. The record is from RNAcentral.
GUGUCAGCCGCCGCGGUAAUACGGAGGGUGCAAGCGUUAAUCGGAAUUACUGGGCGUAAAGCGCACGCAGGCGGUUGGAUAAGUUAGAUGUGAAAGCCCCGGGCUCAACCUGGGAAUUGCAUUUAAAACUGUCCAGCUAGAGUCUUGUAGAGGGGGGUAGAAUUCCAGGUGUAGCGGUGAAAUGCGUAGAGAUCUGGAGGAAUACCGGUGGCGAAGGCGGCCCCCUGGACAAAGACUGACGCUCAGGUGCGAAAGCGUGGGGAGCAAGCAGGAUUAGAUACCCCUGUAGUCC